AUUGAACGCUGGCGGCAUGCCUUACACAUGCAAGUCGAACGGUAACGGGCCUUCGGGUGCCGACGAGUGGCGCACGGGUAAGUAAUACAUCGGAACGUGCCCGAUCGUGGGGGAUAACGAGGCGAAAGCUUUGCUAAUACCGCAUACGAUCUACGGAUGAAAGCAGGGGACCGCAAGGCCUUGCGCGGACGGAGCGGCCGAUGGCAGAUUAGGUAGUUGGUGGGAUAAAAGCUUACCAAGCCGACGAUCUGUAGCUGGUCUGAGAGGAUGAUCAGCCACACCGGGACUGAGACACGGCCCAGACUCCUACGGGAGGCAGCAGUGGGGAAUUUUGGACAAUGGGCGCAAGCCUGAUCCAGCCAUGCCGCGUGCAGGAUGAAGGCCUUCGGGUUGUAAACUGCUUUUGUACGGAACGAAAAGCCUUCUUUUAAUACAGGAGGGUCAUGACGGUACCGUAAGAAUAAGCACCGGCUAACUACGUG
RNAcentral lists this ribosomal RNA (482 nucleotides) under uncultured bacterium. Its description in RNAcentral is "partial 16S ribosomal RNA". It matches the Rfam family "Bacterial small subunit ribosomal RNA", at positions 30 to 507 of the family's 1533-position model. The record is from RNAcentral.